UGAGUAACCUGCCCUUAACUCUGGGAUAAGCCUGGGAAACUGGGUCUAAUACCGGAUAUGACUCCUCAUCGCAUGGUGGGGGGUGGAAAGCUUUUNUGGUUGGUU
Molecule: ribosomal RNA, 105 nt
Filed under: uncultured bacterium
Lineage: Bacteria
Description: partial 16S ribosomal RNA
Source: RNAcentral